AACGAACGCUGGCGGCAUGCCUAACACAUGCAAGUCGAACGAGACCUUCGGGUCUAGUGGCGCACGGGUGCGUAACGCGUGGGAACCUGCCCUUAGGUUCGGAAUAACUCCCCGAAAGGGGUGCUAAUACCGGAUAAUGUCUUCGGACCAAAGAUUUAUCGCCUUUGGAUGGGCCCGCGUUGGAUUAGCUAGUUGGUAGGGUAAAAGCCUACCAAGGCGACGAUCCAUAGCUGGUCUGAGAGGAUGAUCAGCCACACUGGGACUGAGACACGGCCCAGACUCCUACGGGAGGCAGCAGUAGGGAAUAUUGGACAAUGGGCGCAAGCCUGAUCCAGCCAUGCCGCGUGAGUGAUGCAGGCCUUAGGGUUGUAAAGCUCUUUUACCCGGGAUGAUAAUGACAGUACCGGGAGAAUAAGCUCCGGCUAACUCCGUG
RNAcentral lists this ribosomal RNA (433 nucleotides) under uncultured bacterium. Its description in RNAcentral is "partial 16S ribosomal RNA". It matches the Rfam family "Bacterial small subunit ribosomal RNA", at positions 29 to 507 of the family's 1533-position model. The record is from RNAcentral.